This 484-nucleotide ribosomal RNA is filed under the name uncultured bacterium. Its description in RNAcentral is "partial 16S ribosomal RNA". It matches the Rfam family "Bacterial small subunit ribosomal RNA", at positions 30 to 507 of the family's 1533-position model. The record is from RNAcentral.
AUUGAACGCUGGCGGCAGGCCUAACACAUGCAAGUCGAGCGGAUGAAGGGAGCUUGCUCCUGGAUUCAGCGGCGGACGGGUGAGUAAUGCCUAGGAAUCUGCCUGGUAGUGGGGGAUAGCGUCCGGAGACGGGCGCUAAUACCGCAUACGUCCUGAGGGAGAAAGUGGGGGAUCUUCGGACCUCACGCUAUCAGAUGAGCCUAGGUCGGAUUAGCUAGUUGGUGGGGUAAAGGCCUACCAAGGCGACGAUCCGUAACUGGUCUGAGAGGAUGAUCAGUCACACUGGAACUGAGACACGGUCCAGACUCCUACGGGAGGCAGCAGUGGGGAAUAUUGGACAAUGGGCGAAAGCCUGAUCCAGCCAUGCCGCGUGUGUGAAGAAGGUCUUCGGAUUGUAAAGCACUUUAAGUUGGGAGGAAGGGCAGUAAGUUAAUACCUUGCUGUUUUGACGUUACCAACAGAAUAAGCACCGGCUAACUUCGUG